RNA transcript from Gossypium arboreum, 1097 nucleotides. RefSeq lists it as uncharacterized. Lineage: Eukaryota; Viridiplantae; Streptophyta; Magnoliopsida; Malvales; Malvaceae. The record is from RefSeq and is a predicted model, not a curated record. The transcript has 10 exons.
AAGUUCACAUUUUUUUCUCUUGAAGAUUUAAUCAGCCACCGGUUUGUCAAAUACAGCCGCCGAAAAAAACACACAUCGAAACGAUGGGGGCGAAGGCGAGGAAAGCGUCGAAGAAAGCAAUAAAGAAGGCUUCUUCUCAAUUUCCUAACUCUGAUUCCAAGACUGCUUCAGCUGAUUUCCUGCCGUUGGAAGGUGGUCCGCGUGAAAUUCCAGAGACCAAACCCCUUCAAAAAAAUGCUACUGUCCUGUAUGUUGGUCGAAUCCCACAUGGGUUUUAUGAGAUAGAGAUGGAAGCUUAUUUUCAGCAGUUUGGUGCCAUUAAGAGAUUAAGGAUUGCAAGAAAUAAAAAGACAGGAAGAUCAAAGCACUUUGGCUUCAUCGAAUUUGAGAAUCCACAGGUGGCUGAAGUUGUAGCUGAUUGUAUGCAUAAUUAUCUUUUGUUCGAGCAUCUUUUGCAAGUCCAUCUUAUUCCUCCGGAGCAUGUUCAUCCAAAAUUAUGGAGAGGUUUCAAUUAUAAAUUCAAGCCAGUGGACUAUGUGCAAAUUGAACGAAAGCAGCAUAAUAAGGUGAGAACAUUGGAAGAGCACAAAAAGUUGGUGGAGAAGAUCAUAAAACGAGACACAAAGCGUAGAAAGAGGAUAGAGGCUGCUGGCAUUGAUUAUGAAUGCCCAGAAAUUAGAAAUCCAAUAUGGAAAGCGAUACUUUUCAUCAAAGAUGUGUUUUAGUUGAAGGGGCUUUGUAACCUGGUCCUUCCUCUUUUUCACCUGUGACAACCAUCAAUAUGGGUGUAAUUCGACUGAAAAUCGUGGGUAGCGGUCAGUCUGCUCCAAAGAAGAUAAAGUUCGACGAAGAUUAGGCACCAUUAAGUUUUACUACCAAAUGCUGACUAUGAAGGUAAUGGCUUACACAAUAUAGUCCUCCUGAGAUGCUAAAAAAUUGCAAGUUUAAUGUGUAGUUGAGCUGGUGACAAGCUGUAUUGCCUUUGGCUCUGCAACAAGUAGGAAGUUUUAUAUUUAUAAUGUUGGAUCCUGUUAAGACCAGACCUCCUGUUGGAAUCAAAUUUUGUUAUAUGUAAUUUCAAUCAAUGUUGUUUUUUA